Non-coding RNA from Xyrichtys novacula (pearly razorfish), 7556 nucleotides. NCBI's taxonomy places the organism in Eukaryota, Metazoa, Chordata, Actinopteri, Labriformes, Labridae. The record is from the annotation of a GenBank genome assembly.
GGUCUUUAAAAAAACUGUCUCUUUCAAAUUAAUCUAUACUAAAUCGUUUUAUUUUAUUUUAAUGUUUCUGCUUAAAAAAAUCUUUCGUUUUCAUGAACUUCCAGCGCGUGUCCAACUAUGACAUCACUGAGUACCGUCGUCUUCCAUAUGAGGGCGCACGAGUAUCAGCGGAAAACGGAACUGCUGGUAAUGGAGCGUGUGUGCCGGGAAUAGAGCACUACGCACACACACAUACACACAAAUACGCAGACACACACGCACGCGCGCGCGCACACACACACACACACACACACACACACACACACACACACACACACACACACACACACACACACACACACAGUACGUCUCUCACUGUGUCUCCUGUUCUGCUGCGCUGCUGCGGGCAGCAUCUGAAACAAGGCCGGAAAGCGAGGCUGUCACUCGGGCAGACCGCGCUCACCGGGCUCGCUCUGUCCUCGUUACGCAAAUUACCGGCGGAGCGGCGCAGCAGUGGGUCCGUUAAUGGAGCGUGCGUGCCCCUGGCCGGCUUCCGCACCCCGCCUCCUCCUCCCAUCUCCCUCCGCCUCGUGAAUAGACUUAAUGGGAUACAGGCGAGGAGGCAUUCACCGGGGAAGCGCUAUUACUCACACGGAAACACGGAGACCCGGACACACGAGCGCACAAACACGUUGACGUACAGCUUGCAUCGCCAUUGAGAAACACGGCUGUUCAUACUUACGCUAAAAAAAUACAAAAUGUUUGAAAUUACAGCACUACUUGUGAAGCUCUCGAGGCAAAGCUUUUAUAGCCUAAAACGUAAAAUCAGUCAGUUUAACCAGAACCGGAACAGCUGUCAUUGAACUUUAAUAGACCCAGUCCAGAGGCGGAUUCAAAGGGUGGGCAGGGGGUGACUGGUGGCCACUCCAAAAUCAAUAAAUCCAUCAAUCCUUGUCAGAAGCAGGGCUUAAAGGGAUAUUCCGGCGUAAAAUUAAUUUAGGGUCAAACACACCUGGGAGAACAUUCAUGAUCAUUUCUUCAUGGAAAUGCAAUCAGACCGAGACGCUAAGGCACAAGAACUACCGCGUUUGCAGUGCAAAAUGAUUAAUAUGGUGAUUGUUACUUCAAGGAAAUGAUGAAGAAAUGAUCACAAAUGUUCUUCCUUGAGCUGUGUCACCCCGAAGCAGUCCGUAAUGGACUGGCCCGAGGUCUCGCUACAAACAAGCAGCUGCUGGAGGAGAGUGGCUAAGUUGUGUUUUGUGUAGUCUCUUUGCUAAAGAAAUUAGGCAAUGUUAAAAAGCUGUUUGGUGGCAAGUGCUGUGGCUGGGACCCUAUAUGUACUGUUGAUGAAGUUAGGUGCUGUUCUGAGCAUUAUUUGUGGCUAUAGAGUGGCGUUUUGGUUGAGGUUUGUUGAUGGCUCCUCAGACCGCUGUGUAUUGCUGUCAUUCGGUCAUUACUAAAGUUGGUGUAACUAGAGAAGGAAGCGGUCGGCAACAUUCAUCUCUCGGGGGGUUGUCUAACUCGGCAUUACGGUGUGUUUGACCCUAAAUUAAUUUUACACCGGAAUAUCCCUUUAUAUUGUGGGUGGCUGGUUGCCACCCACAAAAGAUACCAGGAAGACAGAGUAGCAGCUAACUUAUUGUAACAUCUCUCCAAAAAUGGUCAAACAUUAAUAUAAGUGAUGGUUAAAAAUUUAUUGUGAAUCAAAAAAUGUUUUUAAAGCUUUUACUUUUUACACUUCUUUUGACUGCUUUUUUCCCAUUCCAUAAAUCAAGAUCUACUACCAGCCGUGAAUUUCAUAUCAAAAUAUUUGCAUGUUUUUACAAUAGUACAGUUUUAUUUUUACAAUAAAACACAAGACAAUAAAAAUGUCUAAAACCAAAGCAUUAAAAAAACACUUGUUUUAUGGAGUAGUCUUUUAUUUGAGGAAGUUUCUGUUGCUCAGCUGGUGACAGGGAGGAAAGCUUUUGAAGAUGCAGAAACCGCAGUUUUUGCGCUUCAACGUUACCUCUAUCCAAAAAAUGUACGCACAACACCAUUUCUUUGAGCGUUGAAGUUGUCGUCUUCUGGCUUGCAUAUGACCUGUAAACAAAAAUAAGACUGUAAAUCUGUUACGUAAGUUCCACAUACCGUCUCUAGAUGCCACAUGGCCUGCAUCACUUUUUACAAGGGGGCAUGGGUUCUAUCACUGUGCUAUCUGUAGUGUUGAAAGAUUCUUAAAAAGCAACAGUUUCCUUCAACAGAAAUCUUCAUGAAUACCUCCCCAUUGGCUCUUCACCUUCAACAUUGUGAGCCUGCCUUUUCCUCGCAUCUGUUUGUGAUGUAAGCUGUUUUCACUGUUGUUCUAACUGCUGUUGCUGCCUCGCCUCAGACACCCCUUCCUCACACUUUUCAGCAACAUGCAGUUGUGAUGACAAGUACUAGAGUUCCCACUCAAGCUGCCUGUUCUUGUGGUGUAGCAGCAGCACCGCAAACCUCCCUCCCUCCUCUCUAACUCUCUCUCUCCUUGAAGCCUUGCGGGAUGAUGAUGACACCCGCCGUAAUCGCUGGAUGCUCAGCUUCUGACAUGACACACAAUCAGGAAACCCUUUCACGGGCUGAUCCAGGUUUCAUUGUUGCAUUCAGGUGUGGCACGUCCUCUGACAGGUGGAAAAGGCCGCUUGCAGGAGAGUGGAGGGAGACAGCGAGGUGGGGCUCUGACUGACAGCCCUGUUUAAGACACAAAACCAGCUCCUGUUCCUAUAUCUGAUCUCCUCUCUGCUGUGAUGAACACUCUGCUUACCUACUUUCUUUACACUAACUGGAUUGUGUUUGCGUAGGUUUGCUUCCAGGGCAGACUUUGGGAUUGAGAGGAUGUGAAUAGAGCAGGACGGAGGCCAGGCUUUAGCGGAAAUCACAUAAUUACAUUAACUUAACUAUGUUUAAAUACUGCUCCCAGCUCCUUAGCUUAUACAGCACCUUUUUCUUAUACAGCAGCAGAUUCCUGAGCAAAAUAAUGCAAUUUUGCUGCAUAUUUGAUAGCUAUGGUGUAAAAGUAAGGCUGAAGAUACAAAACGUACAUAUGUAGAAGAUAGAAAGUUAGAGAUUACAGUACAAUACCUAAAACAGUGUGGGCCAGUAAUCAGAAUUGUCUGCUAUUUGAGUCUGGGUAUUAUUCAGCUUUGUUUCAAAUUACUUAAUUCGUCACAAACAAAUUUAAGACUUAAAACUGUUGAAUGGGUUUUACUUGUUAUGCCCUAUUUUCAUAUUGAGUUCGAAUCAAGAGGCUAAAUUGAGUUCUCUCCCUACUUAAACUAUAAUUUCGAUUCUCCAAAAAUUGGGAUUUUAUGUCAGAUGUUGUUUAAACAGAAUUUGAUGGUUUGCAAAUAAUUUUAACCCUGUGUUCACUUGAAAAUACUUCGAAAACACAUUAUUAAUGUUUACGUUUAAUGAAGACCUUUCGCUCAUUUUGAAAAUGAUGAAAGAAACAUCUUAAGGGCUGGGACGUCAGGCAUGUUUACGUCACACUUUUUUGUUAAUAUGGUGACAUGAUGCAACAAAGUUUUUCAGAGGGGUCAAGUCGGGACUACAGGCAGGCGAGUUAAGCAACCAUUCUCUUCUACUGCAGAGUCAUCCUGUUGUAACACAUGCAAAAUGUGGUUUGGCAUUUCCCCUCUGAAAUAAUCAAGGUCUUCCCAGAAAAGGCAUCAGCAGCAUAGGUUGCUCAGGGGGCAGUCCGAUCUGCAUAAAUUGGAACAGACCAAUGUCAGGAAAAGUCACGUCCCUGACAGUAUCAGUGGCCGAUUACUCAAAAACUGUGUCCCAUUUCUGUGUGGUAUUUAUACAUUCAUCUUCCAGCCUCCUUGUCACAGCAAAAAGUCCCUGAAUCCACUGUGACACAGAUUACCCAAAUCAAAAUCCCCAGUGUGCUAAAUGAUUACCACCCUGUGACAUUCCCAUCUUUGGUCAUGAAAGCUUUGAAAACAUUGUGAAAAGGAGCGUAUUAAACAUGUCCAAAAAUAUAACUGAUCCCUUUAAGUUAUCAGGUAAAGAAAGGUUUGAUAAUGCUACUUAAAGAUUGCUAAAUCUAGUUGUUGGGCAUCUAGAGGGGUUUAAAACUCAUGCAUGUUUGUGUUUUGAUGAUUUUACACCUGCUUUUACUUGCAUGCAGUCCAAUAUUCUCACUAAGAGGCUUAAAGAAAUACCUGGUUUUGACUUUGCCAGAAUCUGUUGGUUGGUGGACUUUUUUAACAAUGAGGCUACAAAGGACCCGUGUUAAUGGAACAUGUUCAAAGCCACUAAUGUGCUCUACAGACUCACCUCAGACCUGUGUCUUGUCACCAUUAUUGUUUGUAGUCUAUACUAAUAAACGUACGAGUUGCUUUGAGUUGAGGUUUAUCAUCCACUUUGCAGAUGAUUUAGUCAUUGUCAGCCUUUUGCAGGACCAUGAGGUUAGCUAUGAUCCAGAUCUGAACAGUUUUGUUAAAUGGUGCCAGGAAUCCUACUCGUAUCUUAACAUGUGUAAGAUGAUGGUAUUGCUGUGGAGACAUAAGCUGACCUUUGACACCAACACAGAUGCAAUUUGCACAAAGGCCAAUCCGAGACUUUUUCUUAAGAAAGCUGAGAGGAUUCAAUGUUGACAAAUCUCUUUUAAGUAUAUUUUAUUGAGUCCAUUUUAACUUUUGCAAGGAUCUGUUGGUUUGGUGAUCUCAGUGUGGUUAACAAAAACAGGCUGGGAAACAUCAUGAAACCUUGCAGAAUACAUUUCCAGAGCCAACUUGAAUGAUCUUAGUCGUGUUUUUCAUGUGAAGGCCACUCAGAAGGCAAAGGCCAUCUUGAGAGACCCUCAGCUUACUCCUUUUGACAAAGUUUCCUCCAGAUGCUUGAAAGAUUCUAACAACAUGAACUGAGGGUGACUAGAUGCCUGUGAUUUUUUGAAAGUAACAUUUUUCUGUAAUUGUUGACUUAUUUAGUCACACAGUGUCUCACAAAUGAGUAGAAACUCUGCCUCUCUGGGUUACCCUUUUAGUCAUAUUACCAACUUUGCAAAGUAAUGUUGUUAGUUUGGAGACGUUUGUCUGUGUUCUUCUUGUAGCAUUGCACAACCUCUUAAGAGUUUUGAAACAUACUGCUUGCAACAAAUUUAAAAUUGAGAUUAAAUUUUCAUGAACAAUGGUAAUUUUUCAGUUUUAGCAUUUAAUAUGUGAAAUUACCAUUAUUUGAAAAUAAAUUUGUUUUUUAAUCAUUAAAAAUCUGUUUUAACCAACUUUGUACAGUCUUCAUUUUUUGCAUUAAGGUUUUGGGACUGAGUCAGACUGGUAGUUCUGCUUCGCCGAGUAUGUUGAUUUGGUAUCAGUUUCUUCCCCUCUACAUUUUAGAGGGUAAAGUUGUACUUUUCAUUGCUCUCAUUGUAAGUAAUGGAUGCUAUGUGGUAGUCUAGUUACUAUUACACAUAUUUGGCGUUGUGAAAUGUAAAAAUCCAAUAUCAUUACUCUUUAAAAUUUUAACCUGCUCACUCCCUACCUCCAGCUCUCCAAAAGAUAAUUUUUAGAUUUUGCUAAUAACGCUGUCAUGGUUCUGAUUGCAUUAUGGGAAAAGAGAGGAACAGGAUGACCCAGUGAUGGGAAAUCAGACUGUUGUGUCCACAUCCCAUUAGACCUGUCUCUGUCGCAAUCAAGCUCAACAGGCAUACCAAGUUUUGGUGGGGGGGGACACUCUGUGGUUUGCGCUGACAUACUUUCUGGUUACAUAAGUGUGUAGCAUAGAUGGUGUCAAAGUAUAGGGUGUAGCCUUGGGGCCUGAAAGGGAAGCCGGCGACUGAUGAUAGAUGGUGUACUGCUGAAACAACCACAACAAAAACUGGGGCUGAGCAUAACAAAAGACACUCUGAGAAGUUGGUUGUCUUUUAAAGAGCGACAUUUUGGGAAACCUGUUUCUCUUUCAGCAAAAUUUGCCUCUUAAAUGAUAUCACUGUUUUUGUAGCGUACUGCAAAACAAUUUAGCACUAGCAUUAGCUUUUAACUGACUAUUUUCACACCUAUUACUUACCUCUUUGUUUAAAUAGGGUUUCUCCUGGCUGACACAGAUAAGCCAAUGUCAAGUUGAUAGUAUUAUGUUAUAUUUCACCUAGUUUUGGUCUAGAUACUUUGUUAUAUUGACAACGACUGACCUUGAUUCUUUGACUGAUACCAGGAGGAGACGGAAGUAGUACAGGGCCGACAGAAAGACUCAUCCAGCAGGUUUUGCCGCCUUUGUUCACAUUCCCCCCAUUCUUGCUGAGCAACAAUUCUGUCAUGACAAUUCAUUGGCUGACUUGAAGAACAGACUGUGCCCAUGCAUAGAUAUCCCUUUAUGGACAUAGAGAAUCAAUUGGUUCAUCUACCACUCCCUACCUCUUUAAUAUCAUUCCAAUGAGCCUAACCUUUUAUGCCAGGGGAACUUUUUAAAUCUCACUGAGAGUGAAUCCGUCAGAUGUGUUUGGAUUAAACAUAGACAGGUGCUUUUCCUUUUUGUUUUUGGCAACACAGUGGGAAAACAUGUUUGUCGGAGUCACCCGAAAUGUUUACCGAAGAUCAGAUUACAAACUGCUUCCAACAGUGACAAACAGUGCUGAGUUAAGUUCUGGUGGGGGGCUAUUUUUGUAGCUUGGGGGCAUGUGCAUGAGUCCCCCGUUUACAAGUCCCUCCAACAGUGACAAACAGGGCAGUAUUAAGUUUUGAUAUGAGGCUAUUUUUGUCGCAAGGGUGCAUGUGCACGAGAUCCCCUAUUUAUGAUUGCUUACAGUAAGGAGAGUCAUGAGGGCAUGAGCUGUCCACGAUGAUGACUGCUGGACACUGGCUGGUGCAACAGUCUGUUUUUAGGGGUAACCUGGAAAACAACCAGGCCUGUGGUGGUGAGCUUGGUCUUUUUAGUUUGUGUGUCAUUUGUGUGAGUUUUGAUUCAGCGAUUACAAGUCUAUAUACUGUUGGGGAAGCUCUUUGAUGCAGCACCAGUUCUCACGUAGGCCUACUCCCUUUAUAAAACUGAGGACAAAAGUCAAAUUGAUCACAGCCAUUGUGCUGUAAAUCUCUACUACCUGAAUGUACACAAGCACAGAGGACAGAUGAUGUCUCAUCACAUCACAUGCAUCAAGUUCCAGGACCUAACUUCUUGUUCUUAACAUCUUGAGUGAAAGAUGUUUUGCAGAUUGAAACUUUGCAAUCACCUCUUGAAACUGAGGACAAAAAGUCAAAUUGAUCACAGCCAUUGUGCUGUAAAUCUCUACUACCUCUAUGUACCCAAGCACAGAGGACAGAUGAUGUCUCAUCACAUCACAUGCAACAAGUUCCAGGACCCAACUUCUUGUCCUUAACAUCUUGAGCAGAUAGAAAAUUUGCAAUCACCUCUUGAAACUGCUCUGGUGGAUUUGCUGCAGAUCUGUGUGGUCUCUUCAUGCAUUUGCAGAAAAGCUGAGAAGCAAGUCCAUUUUAAGAUUUGAAGACCAACUUCAAAUAAAACCAAUCAGUGCAGUUACUAAAAUAAAACUUCAGCACCUCCAGACCCUACAGAUUUAACCUCUGACUUUUUAAAGAGGCCAGGCACUCUUAAUCUGAAACCAC